GAUGAACGCUGGCGGCGUGCUUAACACAUGCAAGUCGAACGGAAAGGCUCCUGCUUGCAGGGGUACUCGAGUGGCGAACGGGUGAGUAACACGUGGGUGAUCUGCCCUGCACUUCGGGAUAAGCCUGGGAAACUGGGUCUAAUACCGGAUAGGACGAUGGUUUGGAUGCCAUUGUGGAAAGUUUUUCGGUGUGGGAUGAGCUCGCGGCCUAUCAGCUUGUUGGUGGGGUAAUGGCCUACCAGGGCGUCGACGGGUAGCCGGCCUGAGAGGGUGUACGGCCACAUUGGGACUGAGAUACGGCCCAGACUCCUACGGGAGGCAGCAGUGGGGAAUAUUGCACAAUGGGCGCAAGCCUGAUGCAGCGACGCCGCGUGGGGGAUGACGGCCUUCGGGUUGUAAACUCCUUUCGCUAGGGACGAAGCGCAAGUGACGGUACCUGGAGAAGAAGCACCGGCUAACUACGUG
Molecule: ribosomal RNA, 465 nt
Filed under: uncultured bacterium
Lineage: Bacteria
Description: partial 16S ribosomal RNA
Rfam family: Bacterial small subunit ribosomal RNA
Source: RNAcentral